This is a non-coding RNA of Hydra vulgaris (swiftwater hydra), 290 nucleotides long. The record is from RefSeq and is a predicted model, not a curated record. NCBI's taxonomy places the organism in Eukaryota, Metazoa, Cnidaria, Hydrozoa, Anthoathecata, Hydridae.
GUUGUUUUGACAAUGUUGAGGAAGUGGCACAUUGAAAAUUAUUGUCUCAAUAACUAGCCAUUACAAAAAUAAUUUGCCGUAAUGAAAAGGCAAGGAAAACUUGAUAGAAUGCAUGCAUAUGGUUUGAAGCAGAGGCAGUUGUUCCAUCUUGUUCGAAAAAAGAUGGAUGGUUAUUUUGGUCAACUUGUGUUUAUGCAAUGAAAGCUACCUAUAAUAAUUUUUCAAUCAUUGACUCAUGCAAAAAACUUAGACUUAAAAGAGUAAAAGUAACUGGAUGUCAUUAAAUUUUA